This 1383-nucleotide long non-coding RNA is filed under the name Equus caballus (horse). RNAcentral's name for it is "lncRNA (ENSECAG00000060276.1)". Lineage: Eukaryota; Metazoa; Chordata; Mammalia; Perissodactyla; Equidae. The record is from RNAcentral.
AAGUUUGCUGACCUCCAUGCCAGAGAAGAACCAGUGCAUAUUUCUAGGUGAAGAACUGAUAACGGGCUGCUUCAAAUUUGUCACAUGUUUAGAACAAUUUCCUGAAUAGAAAUGUGGCCACAGGCCAGAACAAACCACAGCUUGGUGGUUGAAGAUCUGGAUCACACGCAGGAUAUAGAGUCGGACCCAUCCAGCUCUUAGAUUUUUGCCUGUGUUAAAGGAUCUUGGUGAGGCAGCGCAUUGUCCUGUGGGAGUGGUGUGAGGUUUUGGAUGAGCAGAGCUGGGGGAUGAUGGUAAUAUUUCAUAGCAGCACGCAUCCACUCAGCGUGAUAAUCACAGCAUAGCCACCCGGAGCGGUGUCCGAGUGGAAACCCAGUGCCUUUGUGCUCUCUGUCCGCACCUUGAGCACACCUUCCCUUCAGUGUAACACAUUCAUUCACUCCUGCCUUUUACCUGGAAGAAACACAGCACUCAAAUCAGUUUGGUCCUCACACAGUCUGGAUGCUGCAGUUAGCCAACGUGAGAUGAAACAGAUGGUUCCAGAUGUGGAAGCUGCAGUCUUCUUAGAGUUUUGGAUGAGUCCCCAAGUCUGAGAGAAAUGGGGGCCAGGGAUCCUUAUCUUCUAAAGCGAGGUGCUAGACUCUUUUGAGAGGACUUUGGCCAGCCCCCAAAUUGGAUUUUCCAGAAUUAGCCCAUCCCAGCCUCCAAACCAUGGGGGAGAAAGGAGUUGAAGAGAGUAGAGAGUGAAAGAGUGAGAGUGUCUUUAGAGAGAGUUUUUAGGUCGUUGAAGAGUUUCUCCCUCCUUUUCUAACCCUGAGGAAGAAGGCAGGUGGUAGUGAGAUAAAGACAUCUGCUUGGAUGUCUUUGAUAGGCUAUCUUGGAUAUCCAACCUCUCUUGGACAGGUUAAAUUAUAUCCCCUGAAACUUGAGGAAUAGAGUAACUCUUACCCAUUACAUGCCUAAAACUCCAAGGCGCAGAUGCUGGAUAGAAGAAGAGUGUGACGCAAGCUUGCCUUUGUGUCUCCUGAGUCUCACAGGCAAGGUUGCUCUCGCCUCCCCCACGGGAGGAAGCUGGCUGUCAGUCAUCUUCCAAGGUAUGCCACACCUGAGGAUCAUCCAGCAAGAAGAGGUCACCCCAUCAGAAGGGUGGACCCCAGGAGCCAGGACUUGGGGACAAAUGAAUUGAGAAAGUUUAUUUAAUGAAGCAAUCGUGAGAAGAAAAGUUUCCAAUUACACUCCAUUCCCACUUUCAAUCCCAGCACAAGUGUGAGAUUCUUUUCCUGGAGUACACACCUGGAAAUAGAAUCUUUGGUUGUAAGAAACUGUCACCAGAUGACUGCAAUGAAUGAUAUGCUUUCUCUACUUUAGAAAAGAAAGAGCUGG